GAUGAAGAACGUAGCGAAAUGCGAUACUUGGUGUGAAUUGCAGAAUCCCGUGAACCAUCGAGUCUUUGAACGCAAGUUGCGCCCGAAGCCAUUAGGCCGAGGGCACGCCUGCCUGGGCGUCACACGUCGUUGCCCCCCCAUCUACUCCUUCGGGAUUGCGGGGGGCGGAUGAUGGCCUCCCGUGCGCCUCGUCGCGCGGUUGGCAUAAAUACCAAGUCCUCGGCGACGCACGCCACGACAAUCGGUGGUUGCGAAACCUCGGUUGCCCGUCGUGUGCGGUCGUCGCGCAUCGAGGGCUCGAAAAAAUUGCCGGGCUCCGGCUCGGCUUUCAACGCGACCCCAGGUCAGGCGGGGUUACCCGCUGAACUUAAGCAUAUCAAUAAGCGGAGGA
Molecule: unclassified non-coding RNA, 391 nt
Filed under: soil metagenome
Description: partial contains 5.8S ribosomal RNA, internal transcribed spacer 2, and large subunit ribosomal RNA
Rfam family: 5.8S ribosomal RNA (bases 1-122)
Source: RNAcentral